This is a non-coding RNA of Ameiurus melas (black bullhead), 73 nucleotides long. The record is from the annotation of a GenBank genome assembly. Lineage: Eukaryota; Metazoa; Chordata; Actinopteri; Siluriformes; Ictaluridae.
GGCAGAGUGGCUUAGUGGUUAGCAGAUUUGCCUCACACUUUCACGGUUGGGGGUUCGAAUCCCGCCUCUGCCC